This 229-nucleotide long non-coding RNA is filed under the name Elaeis guineensis (African oil palm). RNAcentral's name for it is "long non-coding RNA (EGUI_LNC012457)". Lineage: Eukaryota; Viridiplantae; Streptophyta; Magnoliopsida; Arecales; Arecaceae. The record is from RNAcentral.
AUGUAAUGAUGAAGUUUUUACUUAAUAGAAGAAACCUUUUAUUUUUAGGACUUAUUUAUUGAUUGUUGUCGUGUGCUUCGCUAUUUUUUUCCAUAGCUUGGUCGAUGCGAAUAUUGUGGUCGGAUUGUCCUCCAUGCUGAACCACUUCCAUGGAUCAAGGCAUUGCCUAUCCGAGAGUGCAUUGAGGCCUUGGAGAGGGGGGUCCAUUUGGUUAGGAGGAAAGCUUUCG